CGGGACAAGGGGCGGGGCCAGGCCGUGGGCGGGGUGGGCGGGGCCGCGGCUGGCGUGGGCGGGAGCGAGAGUCCGGAACCGGCGGGAGUCUGGGACUGGGCUAGGGGAGGACAGCCCUGGGCCGGGUCCGGCACCUCGCCAGGCCUCUGCCCUGCCGGGAGCCUGUGGACACUAUCAUUCUCUCCUCACGUGACAGGGGACUCGGUGACGUCGCCGUUUGGAGGCUUGGGGGUGCGUUCUGGGCUUUGGAAGUAAAGGAAGCGGAACGCAGUAGGAAUGGGAGCCCCAAGGCGGACAGCCGCCCUGAGGAGCCGCACGAAUCCGCUGCUACCUUCCUCCACACCCACUCACGGGCGACUCCUGGCAGAGGGUUCUGGCGACCCCUGCACUCCCCGCUCUGUUAGUGUGAGCGUCUGGCAUCCUGAGCGCCCCAGCCAGCCUAGCCAUCCUGAUUUCUGUAUCAGAGGAUGUGGCAAGACCCAAGCAUGUGGGGCACCUUGCGUCAGAGGAAGUGGCUUUCUUGUUGCAGCAAAAAUUCCAGCACCCAUAUCAUGAAUGAAUCAGCAUACAGCUGGCCCUGGUGGUAUUCCUUGUGGUGGUGGAUUGCUCCCAUGGUUCCAGCUGGUAAAUGUCCUCCAGAAGCUUUCUUCUUCAUCCUAGCGGCAACUUCAUAAUUCCAUCUUCCCAAAACUUUUUAUCUUUUUGAGCAAAGAACCGUUCCAGGUACCUUUAACAGUCGUCCAGGGAAUUGAAUUUUUUUCCAUUAAGAGAAUUUUGUAAAGACCUAAAUAAGUGGAAAUUCGAAGGUGCGAUGUCUGGUGAUUACGAAGGAUGAAUCAGAACUUCCCAGCCAAGCUGUAACAGUUUUUGCCUGGUCAUCAAAGAAACAUGAGGUGUUGCCGUUAUCCUGAUAGAAGAUUAUGUGUU
This is a long non-coding RNA of Aethalodelphis obliquidens (Pacific white-sided dolphin), 927 nucleotides long. RefSeq lists it as uncharacterized. The transcript has 3 exons. NCBI's taxonomy places the organism in Eukaryota, Metazoa, Chordata, Mammalia, Artiodactyla, Delphinidae. The record is from RefSeq and is a predicted model, not a curated record.